CCUACGGGAGGCAGCAGUAGGGAAUCUUGCACAAUGGGCGAAAGCCUGAUGCAGCGACGCCGCGUGGGUGAAGAAGUUCUUCGGAUCGUAAAGCCCUAUUAUUAGAGAAGAAAGUGCGUGAGCGUAACUGUUCACGUUUCGCCGAUAUCUAGCCAGCAGCCCACGGCUAACGACGUGCGCGCAGCCUCGGUAGUACGUAGGUGGCAAGCGUUAUCCGGAUUUGCUGGGCGUAAAGGGAACGCAGGCGGUCUUUUAAGUCUGAUGUGAAAGCCCGCGGCUUAACAGGUGGAGUGCAUUGGAAACUGGGAGACUUGAGUGCAGAAGAGGAGAGUGGAACUCCAUGUGUAGCGGUGAAAUGCGUAGAUAUAAGGAAGAACACCAGUGGCGAAAGCGGCUCUCUGGUCUGUAACUGACGCUGAGGUUCGAAAGCGUGGGGAGCAAACAGGAUUAGAUACCCCGGUAGUC
RNAcentral lists this ribosomal RNA (465 nucleotides) under uncultured bacterium. Its description in RNAcentral is "partial 16S ribosomal RNA". It matches the Rfam family "Bacterial small subunit ribosomal RNA", at positions 338 to 795 of the family's 1533-position model. The record is from RNAcentral.